RNAcentral lists this ribosomal RNA (229 nucleotides) under uncultured bacterium. RNAcentral describes it as "partial 16S ribosomal RNA". It matches the Rfam family "Bacterial small subunit ribosomal RNA", at positions 568 to 796 of the family's 1533-position model. The record is from RNAcentral.
UGCGUAGGCGGUUUGAUAAGUCAGGAGUGAAAGUUAUCUGCUUAACGGGGAAAUUGCUUUUGAUACUGUCAAGCUUGAAUCGGGUUGAGGUUAGCGGAAUGUGACAUGUAGCGGUGAAAUGCAUAGAUAUGUCAUAGAACACCAAUUGCGAAGGCAGCUAGCUAGGCCUAGAUUGACGCUGAGGCACGAAAGCGUGGGGAGCGAACAGGAUUAGAUACCCGAGUAGUCC